RNAcentral lists this transfer RNA (74 nucleotides) under SAR202 cluster bacterium. RNAcentral's name for it is "tRNA-Arg". It matches the Rfam family "tRNA". From Rfam's summary of the family: Transfer RNA (tRNA) molecules are approximately 80 nucleotides in length. Their secondary structure includes four short double-helical elements and three loops (D, anti-codon, and T loops). Further hydrogen bonds mediate the characteristic L-shaped molecular structure. tRNAs have two regions of fundamental functional importance: the anti-codon, which is responsible for specific mRNA codon recognition, and the 3' end, to which the tRNAs corresponding amino acid is attached (by aminoacyl-tRNA synthetases). tRNAs cope with the degeneracy of the genetic code in two manners: having more than one tRNA (with a specific anti-codon) for a particular amino acid; and 'wobble' base-pairing, i.e. permitting non-standard base-pairing at the 3rd anti-codon position. The record is from RNAcentral. Lineage: Bacteria; Bacillati; Chloroflexota; Dehalococcoidia.
GACCCUGUAGCUCAAUCGGAUAGAGCAACGGUCUUCUAAACCGUAGGUUACAGGUUCAAAUCCUGUCAGGGUUA